RNAcentral lists this long non-coding RNA (3975 nucleotides) under Macaca mulatta (Rhesus monkey). RNAcentral describes it as "lncRNA (ENSMMUG00000063084.1)". Lineage: Eukaryota; Metazoa; Chordata; Mammalia; Primates; Cercopithecidae. The record is from RNAcentral.
AUGUUGGUGAAUUCAGCAUUUCUGUGGUCCUGCUGGUUAUGCCAACUUUAUCCCAGCUACCUGAAGGAUCGUCGUGCUGGAGAAGACAUGCCUCUCUGUGUGGAGACCCACCUGACCAAGGCUCAACUUUGUGAACAUAACGGUUGGAGGAACUGCCCCUCAGACUGUUCAACUUGCUCAGAAAAGUGGCCUUCCUUUGGCUGGGGAAUGGGUAACCAUUUUUUCUCUUUAUUGCUAAAAAGACCCAUCAGGUUGGGGCCUGCCUUCUUGAGCUGUGAAUUACAAUGGCAGGUUCAAAAGGCCUUCAGCCAACUUGAGUUUUGUAGUCAAAUUAGAUCCAAUUGGAAGUCAGCCUAUAGAAUGUGAACCAUUACUAAAGUUUUAAAAAUGAGCUUUGCCACUUUGUGGACUGUGGCUGUAGAAAUAUUUGGAGUUUUAAUGAUCUUCUCUGUCUAUUAAAGGAUCUGAUAGACAUGAAGUUUUACAAGGUAAGGACCCAAAAUGCAUCAGGUUUUUAAUGCCAAAAUUCCAUUAGGCCUGCAAUAAACGAUGGAGUCCAUCUAUGUAGCAGAUAUAUUUUAAGGUAGUGAAACUAAGUAAAAUAGUAAGACCUUUUAAAUUUAAUGUUUAUUCCAGGGACUGAUGAUUCAAAAGAAACACUUUCUUAGCAUGAUGGUAAUUUGUUUUUCUGCUAUAUUUUUUUUCAGAGACCAAGUUACUUUUUUCUCUUCUCUGAGGGCAACAGUGCACUUUUCGCUCUUACAGUAUGUUAGUUUAUGGGAAAUAGGUGUGAGGCCCUUACUGGCACUUUUUCUAGACUGAAUUGUCUUUAAUUCUGUUACCAGGGCCUGGAGGAUGAAACGAAUCCCUCAGCUAGCCCUUCGUAUCUGGUUCAGUCCUAUCUGCUUAGUAAUGGUCUCGCCCUCUCUCAUUAAAAGCAUUUGGUUUGUCCUGAGUAUAUUAUUAGCAGUCAUAGGACUUGGUUCAGGAUUGGAUUGAGAGAGAAGGGGUUGAACAUAUAGUUCUAUCAUCUUCUAGUCCUUGAAGUGAUUUUUAAAAAGUUGCUAAAAAAGACUAAGUCCUUUGAUACGAGAUUCCUUCACUAGGGAGCAGAAAUUUUGAUAUAUUCCUGCAACAGAAAAGAGUAUAGGGUUUGGUUUUGUAUAUGGUAGAGAAUGUGGGACACUGUGUGUUUCCCUGUAAUCCCAGCCACUCGGGAGGCUGCAGUGGGAGGAUCGCUUGAGCCCAGAAGUUUGAAUCCAGCUUGGGCAGCACAGCAAGACCCUGUCUCUAACAAAAAAAAAAUUAAAUAUAAUUUAAAAAAUAAAAAUAGGGUCGAAGCACACUCAGGAGAAGAUCGCUGUAGGUAAUCGCCAGUCCAGUGACGCUCCAAGCUCACCCGUGUUUAGCGCUUGUGAGCAGGUGAAGACUAAGUAUAGUUGAGUUUAACCAGGAUUGGAUUUGUCAAGUGUGACUCUGACUUGAGAUAGGACACAGGAGAGACACAUGGGACAGCAGAGAUGAAAGGGUGUGCACAGGAUGAUGAGAAUGAUGGACUCUGGGGUCUAGUCUGCAAAGGGAGAGAGGUGACAAAAGAAAGUGUUCAAUCAUCUGGAGGUCCUGGGGGGAAUGAGGAGCAGUUGAAGAUUGAUGCUAAGGAAGGAGGAGACAGAGACAGAGGGUGAGAGCCUCAAAUGGGAGAUGCUGAAGGUGGUGCAGCUACGAGUCAUGAUGAGGUCCGGGGUGUGACCAGGGGAGCUGCUAUUUGUACAGCAUGAAGGAAGUUAUCAUUGUUAAGCUGGAGGGCCAGGAACACUGUCCUCCUGGACAAAACAAAAAGUGCAGAUCAAACAGCCACAAAAACCUGUCACCACCACCACUAAGACACAGUCAUAUGUGGUUUCAUAGAAAUGCUCUGAAAACAAAGCAACCCGAGAAUAUUAGAGAUAAAAAGAACAGGGAAAUUCUGGCCGAAAGAAAAAUUAACAUAAUGGUAUCAAUAACUGAUAAAAAUAAUGUCUGAGGAAAAAGCAUUAGAUUAGAAAAAGAGUUUUUUGUUUUAUUUUUAAAUAUAUAUAUUUUUUUCUUUUGAGACAGAGUUUCAUUCUCAUUGCCCAGGCUGGAGUGCAAUGGUGCUCUCUCAGCUCACUGCAACCUUUGCCUCCCGGUUUCAAGUGAUUCUGCAGCCCCAGCCUCCUGAGGAGCUGGGAUUACAGGCGCUCCACCACCACAUCCAGCUGAUUUUUGUAUUUUUAGGAGAGACGAGGUUUUACCAUGUUUUCCAGGCUGAUCUCGAACUCCUGAUCUCAGGUGAUCCACCUGCCUCAGCCUCCCAAAGUGCAGGGAUUACAGGCAUGAGCCAUCGUGCCCAAAGGAAAAGAGUUAUUUCUGUUUGAUGAAAUUGACAGUCCACAAAGAAGAUGGAAUUAUCAAGAAUCUUUUUGUACUUAAUAAUGUAGAUUUGAGAUAUACAGAAAGUCAAAAUAUUAGAGAAACAAAUGAAUUUACAACCACAGUGGCAAACAUUAGUAAAUAACAGACGUUCGUGGUCACGAUUCAUAAAGAGCAGUUUUAAGUGUAUUUAUUUAGGCAGAGACAUUAUGCAUGCAUAGUUCAUUUGCUCUUAUUUUAGAAUCCGUACACAUUUAUAAAAAGCAGCUACUGAAUAUGCAUAUUGUGAAAACAGCUAACAAAACUAAAGUCCCAUCCACUAUUAGAAGACAGUUCAACGUUUAUUAAUAGGUUGUUGGUUAUUUCUGUUACACCAAAGCUUAAGUCUUAAAAUCUAAAAGUGAAGGAAUGAAAUCUGUUCCAGCAAUUUAAAAGGAUUCUGCAUCCAACUUUGAUUCAAUUCCUGUUCAUGUAUAAGACACAAGCCUUAGGAGUCAUUACAUUCCCAUUUUAGCUGGUGGCCAGCUGUAAGUUAAUAUGCAGACUGCGUUGGCUUCUCCUGCUCUAUGCGAUGCACAGUGCUUUGAGCGUUCCGUUGUCCUUGCCUUGGAUUGCCAUUCCAUCCCAGGAUUCUCAUUUCCUCUGUUCCUGAGUUUUGACUGGCAUAAUUUUGGAACUUAAAAAAAAAAUGCAUCUUCUGUUGUUUUUUCUCAUAGCCUUCAUUUACAUUUUUGUCUAUUUUGGAUUUUUUCUGCAAUGCUUUCAAUGUACUUUAUUUCCUGUUUUUAUAAGCUUUAUAUAACUUCAGAAAAACACAGUCCAAGACGUAUCUGGGUUAGAGGUUAUUAUUCAUGUAUUUAUUUAUUUAGUGUAACAUGGAACACAUUGACCUGCAGAACAGACACUGGGUGUGGCUCUUUGUAGAACUGUCUUUAGAGGACAUUAACUAGAGGUGACUUUCCAGGGCUUUGCACCUUAGUGACUUGGGAAGGCAGAUGGCAGGAUGCAGAUGCAGAAAAUUAACAUGUAUGUGCCAUCUACCCUUUAAUAUCCAAGGCAAAAAGGAUGAAAUAGUUUCUUCUCUCCUUCCAUUAGCCCCCAUUUCCUUGUUUUUCAAAUUAAUAGUACUUUAUUAAAUUCAUUACAAUGUAUAAAUCGUAAGUGUUCAGCACAAUGAAUUUUGACAAAUAUAUUAAAUAUAAAACACUGCCAGGCCUGGCGCAGUAGCUCAUACCUAUAAUCCCAGCACUUUGGGAGGCUGAGGCAGGCGGAUCACCUGACUGACAUGGUGAAACCUCAUCUCUACUAAAAAAUACAAAAUUAGCCAGAUGUCGUGGCACAUGCCUGUAAUCCCAGCUACUGGGGGGCUGAGGCAUGAGAACUGCUUGAACCUGGGAGGCAGAGGUUGUGGUGAGCUGAGAUCACUCCAUUGCACUCCAGCUUGGGCAACAAGAGUAAGACUGUCUCAAAACAAACAAACAAAACAACACUUCCAUCAUUCUAGAAAGUUAACUCAUGCUGCUUUCCAGUCAAGUGCUGUCAUACAGCCAAAUCCAAGUAACCAUUGACUUGCUUUCAAUCCCU